GUGGGGAAUAUUGGGCAAUGGGCGCAAGCCUGACCCAGCAACGCCGCGUGAAGGAAGAAGGCUUUCGGGUUGUAAACUUCUUUUAUUGGGGACGAAUAGAUGACGGUACCCAUUGAAUAAGCUCCGGCUAACUACGUGCCAGCAGCCGCGGUAAUACGUAGGGAGCAAGCGUUAUCCGGAUUUACUGGGUGUAAAGGGCGUGUAGGCGGGAGUGCAAGUCAGAUGUGAAAACUAUGGGCUCAACCCAUAGCCUGCAUUUGAAACUGUACUUCUUGAGUACUGGAGAGGCAGGCGGAAUUCCGUGUGUAGCGGUGAAAUGCGUAGAUAUACGGAGGAACACCAGUGGCGAAGGCGGCCUGCUGGACAGCAACUGACGCUGAGGCGCGAAAGCGUGGGGAGCAAACAGGAUUAGAAACCCUAGUAGUCCC
This 428-nucleotide ribosomal RNA is filed under the name uncultured bacterium. RNAcentral's name for it is "bacterial SSU rRNA". It matches the Rfam family "Bacterial small subunit ribosomal RNA", at positions 354 to 797 of the family's 1533-position model. The record is from RNAcentral.